This 316-nucleotide ribosomal RNA is filed under the name Macrobrachium lantau. RNAcentral's name for it is "partial large subunit ribosomal RNA". The stretch from base 1 to 195 matches the Rfam family "Archaeal large subunit ribosomal RNA", at positions 1900 to 2143 of the family's 2987-position model. Lineage: Eukaryota; Metazoa; Arthropoda; Malacostraca; Decapoda; Palaemonidae. The record is from RNAcentral.
CAAAAACAUGUCUGUGUGAAGUAGUUAUAAAGUCUGGCCUGCCCACUGAUUGAUUUAAAGGGCCGCGGUAAUUUGACCGUGCGAAGGUAGCAUAGUCAGUAGUCUUUUAAUUGAAGGCUUGUAUGAAAGGUUGGACGAGGGAUAGGCUGUCUCUUUUGUGUAGUUUGAAUUUAACUUUUGAGUGAAAAGGCUUAAAUUUCUUAGUGGGACGAUAAGACCCUAUAAAACUUGAUAUAAAUUUAAUUAGAUUUGUGAUCUUGGUAAAAAAUAGUCUUGUUGAGUUUAUAUUUCGUUGGGGAGAUGAAGAUAUAACGUG